AUGCAUAUCCAUAUGCGCGGUCUCCUUCUGUGGGGUGUUCUCUCUGGCGAGGUCCCCUGUCCGCCUUGUCAUGUUACUCCUGUGGCUCCUACCCCGCCAGCACCGCCGGUUCUUGCUGCUGAUGCUUCUCAGGCCGAUCGCGAUGCCGCCAAGGCUCUCGAUGAUACUGUAGUUGAUGCCUAUGAUCAGCAGAUGUCAGCCUAUUCGGAUGCCCUUUCUGCCUAUCGUGAUGAUCUGUCUGCUUACACUCAGUGGUGCAAUGAUGAUGCUCGUGCUGUUGCUGUUCUUACUGCAAGUGUCCUUCCUCAGUUCGCCUCGGAGUUCAUGGAACUUGGCACAGUUGCAGCGAUGUGGUCUUAUCUCUGCCAGCGCUAUCAGCCCUCUAGUGAUGCUCUCUACCUAUCUGUGGUACGUCAGGAGCAUGCACUCCAGCAAGGUGAUUCCUCUAUUGAUGAGUUUUAUUCACAGUGCUCUGCCAUCUGGCGUCAGCUUGACGACUCUCUUCGGACCGUCGUUUGUGGAACUUGUCGUUGCUGUCAGACUACACGAUCCGAUUUGGAGUUUCAGCGGGUUCACGAGUUCUUAUCUCGUCUUCGCUCUGAGUUCGAGCCUCGCCGUGCUCACCUGCUUGCUCGUGGUCGUGUUCCUAUCUCGGAGGUACUUGCUGAGCUUCGUGCUGAAGAGACCCCCUCUGCUGGGUUACUUGUGGUUCCAACAUUGUUGGCCGCCCGAGCUCCUAUGCCACCUGCUCGCCUCACAGCUCCACCGCUCCUGCCUACUCCUUCAGGGGUGGUGGGUCGUCCUUCUUAUGCUGAGAGGGGCCGGUCGCGUCGUAACACCUUCUGUGGGUACUGCUCUCGACCAGGUCACCCAGAGUCUGAUUGCCGUGAGAAGAAGCGUGACCAGAGGCGCUCCUCUUCCAGUGGGACUCCUGGAUCAUCCUCGACCCCGUCACUCACUGACCAGGACAUUAUGAGGCUCAAGCGUCUCUUAGCUUCCUCAGGCUCUUCGUCGACCGGUUCCGCUGCUGCUGUGACUGCAGCCACCACUCCACCACCGCAGGCAUCUACACAGUCAGGAUCGUCGCACCAAGGCUUUGGUUGGUGCUGGCUCCCGGCGCCGUGA
This 1125-nucleotide ribosomal RNA is filed under the name Triticum aestivum (bread wheat). Its description in RNAcentral is "partial small subunit ribosomal RNA". Lineage: Eukaryota; Viridiplantae; Streptophyta; Magnoliopsida; Poales; Poaceae. The record is from RNAcentral.